UAAUAUUUAUAAAUAUAUAUUUACAUUUCAGAUAUUUUUGGAUACUCAUUCGGUUUUCGGUUCGGAUCGGGUUGGAUACCGGUUCUUCAGAUAAAUUAAUUUAGGAUCCAUUCGGUUAUUUACCCCGGGUUCGAUCAGGUUCGGAAUCAUGAUUUUCGGAUCGGUUUCUUCGGUUGCGGAUAUCUCGCCCAACCUUAAAUAAAAGAUAAGUAAGCCCAAUUUUAGUAACGGACAAAUUCCAGAUAAGUAAGCUCAUUAUAACAUUAGUGGGUAGUCUUGGCCGAACAGAAAUGUCACUGGAUAGAUGGGCUUUGCGCAUAAAAGUAGAGAGGCCCACAUGAUGGUAAGGUGUUUAAGCUAUCCCAAUAAAAUUUUAAGGGCAAAUCAAUCAUUAAGUAGUCACCCCUAAGCUAAAUGACAUGCUGUUGGUGCAAUUGACAUUUUCGCUGCGUUUUUUGCACUAACGUGGAAGUCCCUCUCA
RNAcentral lists this long non-coding RNA (481 nucleotides) under Brassica napus (rape). RNAcentral describes it as "long non-coding RNA (BNAP_LNC021021)". Lineage: Eukaryota; Viridiplantae; Streptophyta; Magnoliopsida; Brassicales; Brassicaceae. The record is from RNAcentral.